GACGAACGCUGGCGGCGUGCUUAACACAUGCAAGUCGAACGGAAAGGCCUCUUUCGGGGGGUACUCGAGUGGCGAACGGGUGAGUAACACGUGAGUAACCUGCCCUUGACUUUGGGAUAACUUCAGGAAACUGGGGCUAAUACCGGAUAGGAGCUCCUGCUGCAUGGUGGGGGUUGGAAAGUUUCGGCGGUUGGGUAUGGACUCGCGGCUUAUCAGCUUGUUGGUGGGGUAGUGGCUUACCAAGGCUUUGACGGGUAGCCGGCCUGAGAGGGUGACCGGCCACAUUGGGACUGAGAUACGGCCCAGACUCCUACGGGAGGCAGCAGUGGGGAAUAUUGCACAAUGGGUGGAAGCCUGAUGCAGCAACGCCGUGUGCGGGAUGACGGCCUUCGGGUUGUAAACCGCUUUCGCUCAUGACGAAGCUUUGUGUGACGGUAGUGGGUAAAGAAGCACCGGCUAACUACGUG
This 467-nucleotide ribosomal RNA is filed under the name uncultured bacterium. RNAcentral's name for it is "partial 16S ribosomal RNA". It matches the Rfam family "Bacterial small subunit ribosomal RNA", at positions 28 to 507 of the family's 1533-position model. The record is from RNAcentral.